This 253-nucleotide ribosomal RNA is filed under the name uncultured bacterium. RNAcentral describes it as "partial 16S ribosomal RNA". It matches the Rfam family "Bacterial small subunit ribosomal RNA", at positions 524 to 776 of the family's 1533-position model. The record is from RNAcentral.
UACGAAGGGGGCUAGCGUUGCUCGGAAUCACUGGGCGUAAAGGGCGCGUAGGCGGCCGUUUGCGUCGGAUGUGAAAGCCCGGGGCUCAACCUCGGAACGGCAUUCGAUACGGGACGGCUGGAGACCGGGAGAGGAGAGUGGAAUAGCCAGUGUAGAGGUGAAAUUCGUAGAUAUUGGCUGGAACACCGGUGGCGAAAGCGGCUCUCUGGCCCGGUUCUGACGCUGAGGCGCGAAAGCGUGGGGAGCAAACAGG